AAAUUGAAGAGUUUGAUCAUGGCUCAGAUUGAACGCUGGCGGCAGGCCUAACACAUGCAAGUCGAACGGUAACAGGAAGCAGCUUGCUGCUUUGCUGACGAGUGGCGGACGGGUGAGUAAUGUCUGGGAAACUGCCUGAUGGAGGGGGAUAACUACUGGAAACGGUGGCUAAUACCGCAUAACGUCGCAAGACCAAAGAGGGGGACCUUCGGGCCUCUUGCCAUCAGAUGUGCCCAGAUGGGAUUAGCUUGUUGGUGAGGUAACGGCUCACCAAGGCGACGAUCCCUAGCUGGUCUGAGAGGAUGACCAG
This 310-nucleotide ribosomal RNA is filed under the name Campylobacter jejuni. RNAcentral describes it as "bacterial SSU rRNA". It matches the Rfam family "Bacterial small subunit ribosomal RNA", at positions 1 to 307 of the family's 1533-position model. RNAcentral also lists the same sequence under 7 other names. Lineage: Bacteria; Pseudomonadati; Campylobacterota; Epsilonproteobacteria; Campylobacterales; Campylobacteraceae. The record is from RNAcentral.